Molecule: ribosomal RNA, 254 nt
Filed under: uncultured bacterium
Lineage: Bacteria
Description: partial 16S ribosomal RNA
Rfam family: Bacterial small subunit ribosomal RNA
Source: RNAcentral
UACGUAGGGUGCGAGCGUUGUCCGGAAUUAUUGGGCGUAAAGAGCUCGUAGGCGGUCUGUCGCGUCGAUCGUGAAAACUUGGGGCUUAACCCUGAGCUUGCGGUCGAUACGGACAUGACUGGAGUUCGGCAGGGGAGACUGGAAUUCCUGGUGUAGCGGUGAAAUGCGCAGAUAUCAGGAGGAACACCGGUGGCGAAGGCGGGUCUCUGGGCCGAUACUGACGCUGAGGAGCGAAAGCGUGGGGAGCGAACAGG